Heterocephalus glaber (naked mole-rat) is the source of this 1948-nucleotide long non-coding RNA. The record is from Ensembl. NCBI's taxonomy places the organism in Eukaryota, Metazoa, Chordata, Mammalia, Rodentia, Bathyergidae.
CACAACCCUAUUUCCUCUUCAUAAUCAAGGGCAGCACAGCCAGCAUGGGGACACCCUCUUCUGCCAUUGCCCUAGUGGCUGGAGGAGUCCCAAAUGAGGGAUCGAACUCGGGACUUUAUGCUUGCAAGGCAGGCGGCGGAACCACUGAGGAAUCAAGUUAGAGUCCUUGUGCUUGUGCAGCAGGCAGCGAAACCACUGAGUUAAAUCCCUGGCCCCAGUUCUCAAUUAUGUUUUAAACCCUGUCAAUCUUUGGUGCCAAUCAGCCUGGAAAACUGAAUGAUUUGGAGCAGCCUUCCUGAUUUGCCCAGAGAUAUCAGAUUCUUCAGUGUCAGCUGGACAAAAGUAUAAUCAGCUGGACGUGGUUGCGCACUUUUGAAAUCCCAGCACUCUGGGAGGCUGAGAACAUCUUCAAGCAGUGGUUCUCAACUUUGAUGUGUAUUAGGACUGACUGAGAAGACUUGAAAAAUCAUCACACCCUGGCCCUGCCCCAGCACAAUUAAAUAAAGGUCUCUGAGGAUGAAACUCAGGUCUCCAUACUUUUUAAAGUUGUUCAGAUUAGAGACUCUGCUUCCACCAUGCUCUCGUUCUCUCUCUGAUCGUCCAUCCUGGAGGAAGCCAGCUGCUGCAUCCUGGGGACAUUGGAGCAGCCUGUGGAGAGGCCACCCAGGAGGAACUGAGGCUGGCUGCCAAUUACCAGCCCGAACCCGCCUGCCAGAGAGAAACAAGACAAGGCAACACACACCUGUAAUCCCUGCGCUGCGAAGGGCCGUGGCAGCAGGAUCACAAGCUCAAGCCCAGCCUGGCGAAUUCCGCAAACUGGUGAGACCCUGUCUCAAAAUCAAAAAUAAAAAAGGACUGGGGAUGUAGCUCGGUGCAAAGGAAUUAAUUCCGAGAACCACCAUGAAAAAUAAAAAUACAAAGGGACAUAAUGAGAUCAUUCCCACCAGACCUUCCCCACCCCCACCUCCACCAGGGAACUAAUCCUCUGCUUCCAAGACCAGCCAAAAUCUCCCCCCCUCUUGGAAAGCUUCCAGGCCACACCAGACUGGAGCCAUCACUCUGUCUCCUCAGCCUCUAGAAAAAGAAUGUCUUGUCCUGGGACUCAUUUGCCAAUGACCUUUUUAUGACCUUGUGACAUUCUUUCAUAGCUGUUUUAAACUGUUAUUGUUUCUCUCUUGAGCUGCUAUUUAGCUUUCCUUUCAGUUAUGUUAUAUGUGCAUGGGGAAUUGAGGAACCAUGCCUGUCUCCUGAAUAAACUUCCAAGGGCCCAGCUUCAAAGGAGGCUCUGGAUUGGAAUCCAUUCUCUGCUGUUUACUUUGCUGUGUGAUUUGAGCUGGUUACUUGACCUCUCUGUGUGUCAGAGUCCUUAUCUGUAAAGAUAUUACUUUACUACCAAUAUUCUACCAUAUUUGACCCCCCAAGUGAUAGUUUUAUAGGGAUGAUUGAAUUAUAUGGUGAACAUGUAAAUUCUUUAAAAAGUUUAUUACAGUAAAAGGCACAUUGCCUUGAAACCCCUUCAAAAUACCCCUCCUUACUUCGAACACAUUUCGCCCAUCAUUCUUGCCAUUUUCUGAAGUACUUCUGGACGUCCUCUUUCAGACUGUCUUUACAAAGUGUGAUAAAAAAUAUGGUGGAUGCUGCUGCCAAGUGCCAUCUGAUGAAAGACAGGCUCAUAUAAACAUGACUGUGUGUUCUCAUCCACCUGUUCACUGGAUCUGGCAUGGUGUGACUUCUGGUUCUUCCCCAAAGACAAAAUGAUCAUGAAAUAAAUGUUUUGAAUCUAUUUAGGACAUGAAGGCAGCCACCACAGCACAGCUAAAGGCACUGAUGAGUGUAGUGACCCUGUGAUCGAAUCACCUUCCACACAUGGGAGAAUUCUGGGGGACAUUUUAGAUCUAAACCAUAGUCGGUCUGCUUUGUUGUAUACAAUUAUACCCCAAUGAAGCUG